This 1410-nucleotide long non-coding RNA is filed under the name Cyanistes caeruleus (blue tit). Its description in RNAcentral is "lncRNA (ENSCCEG00000008536.1)". The record is from RNAcentral. Lineage: Eukaryota; Metazoa; Chordata; Aves; Passeriformes; Paridae.
AGAGCACCAUGGAAUGUGGCUGUGGAGCUGGAAGGGGCUGUGGUAGGAGAGCAGCUCUGUAGAGUCAGCAGAAGGCAAGACAUUAACCUUUAGUUCCACCAGGACCACAGCUGGGAACAUGGAGAAGGCACUUCCUGCUGGAGAAGGUCUUGGGUUCAUCAGUGCCAGGAAACGUGGGAACCAGAAUAGAAAUGAAAAGGAAGGAAGCAAACAAGUACACAUCAUUGUGCAAUAGUGAAAUGAGAGAAGACAAAUAUUCGAAUGCAGAGAGUAACUGAACAGAAAGAGCAUGGGAAGAGAUGAAGAGGUCCAGAGGGGAGAGCAAGAGGGAUACAGAACCUCUCACUUGUUAUUCUUGUGGAUCUCGUACCCUCUUAUCUGUAAAUACCAUGCUGGUGUUGCUGUUUUCUCGUGUGGGUUGGUUUGCAGUUGAGACCUCAGCUUCAACCAGGAAGCUGAACCACUGGCUGGUGGAGCAGAGCUCCAGUGAACACCCUUUCUUCUGGAGACAUGUGUGGCUGGACUCGUGUGCCCAGCAUGGUGUGGAGGGUGGUUACUAUGGGUGCUGAUAGAAACCAAAGGAGAGGAAAUGGCAGAUGGGAGGAGGUUUUGCUCUAAGCCUGAAGAGGAAAAGCGGUGGCAGGCAGUGAGGAGCAGCAGAGAUUCCACCCACAGAGGCUGGGGAGAGAGAGGGGCCUGCACCUGCUGACUGCUCCCCUUGGUGGCAGGGGUGACACAAGCUGUGUCUGGCCUGGAGCAGUCAGUCUGGAGGUACAGCCAUGCACCACUGUGCAGUUCGAGAUUUGUUUGGAAAAUCUCACGGUGCAGGUGAAGUGGUGCAAACCUGAAUGUCUGGAGGGGGAGAAUCAAACCAUCCCUGUGACUCCAGGAGAAAACUGUAUGAAUUUCACCAGCUCAAGCCCGUGUGCAGCCCACACAGGAAUCUGUGCAUGUAGGGUCUUCAUCACAAGACCAAAUUUGACAGACACUGGAAACUGCACACAAGCAGCAGUUCACUGCUGUGGCUGUGCAGAACCUCUGACUGAUGUCACAGGGAAGAUCUGGACAGGACUCAACCUCCUCCUGUGCAUCUUCCUUGGCUUAGCGGUUGGGACCCUCCUUUACAUGCCGGUAAUUGGCUUCCUGCUGUGGCAGUGCACAAGGAACAAAACAGGAGAGCUCAUGAGCAGGGAAGUGGCAGAGAGGAAUCAGGUCAAUAUGGCAGCCCCAGUGACAGGGACUGAGGACCUGACCUAUGCCAACCUGAAUUUUGGAAAGAAGGAGAGAGGACCUGCCUCCUCCAAUGUCAUUUACACUGAGAUCAAGCCAUCACAACAGAAGCAGAGUGCUGGGGAGGGCAGUGCUGCCAGCACAGAUAUGUAUGUCUCCUCCAAGGAAGAGGGCAAGUGA